CGGACAUAUCGAGUGCAUAGAGGAGUUCUGUAUCUAUAAUUCUUAAAAUAAUUGUUAUGCUUUUUGUGAACGUUUAUCGUGAGUAAUUUAGUAAAUUGUUAGUAAAUUCGCCGGAAGUUUGCGGGGGGUAUGCUAGUUCUGAACGUCACAUGCUAAUGUAAAAAGCUGGUUUCUGAUAUAAAUAUGAACUUGAUUGAACAAAACAUGCAUGUAUUGUAUAACAUAAUGUCCUAGGGUUGUCAUCUGAUGAAGAUCAUCAAAGGUGAGUGCUGCAUUUAGCUGUCUUCUGGGUUUUGGUGACAUUAUAUGCUGGCUUGAAAAAUGGGUGUCUGAUUA
This 336-nucleotide long non-coding RNA is filed under the name Salmo salar (Atlantic salmon). RNAcentral's name for it is "lncRNA (ENSSSAG00000113731.1)". Lineage: Eukaryota; Metazoa; Chordata; Actinopteri; Salmoniformes; Salmonidae. The record is from RNAcentral.